GGUCUAAUAGUGUAGUGGUUAGCACAUGGGAUUUUGACCAUGUCUUCCCUUCCCAUAACCCAGGUUCGAAUCCUGGUUAGACCU
Molecule: non-coding RNA, 84 nt
Organism: Dendrothele bispora CBS 962.96
Lineage: Eukaryota; Fungi; Basidiomycota; Agaricomycetes; Agaricales
Source: the annotation of a GenBank genome assembly